GUGUGAAGCCCACCUCAAGAUGAGAUUUCCCAUUUCUUUAAGAAAGUAAGACCCCUGAGAGAUGAUCAGGUAGAUAGGUUGGAAGUGGAAGGCUAGUGAUAGUUGGAGCGGACCAAUACUAAUCGGUCGAGGACUUAACCAA
This 142-nucleotide ribosomal RNA is filed under the name Enterococcus faecalis. Its description in RNAcentral is "partial 23S ribosomal RNA". It matches the Rfam family "Bacterial large subunit ribosomal RNA", at positions 2785 to 2925 of the family's 2925-position model. The record is from RNAcentral. Lineage: Bacteria; Bacillati; Bacillota; Bacilli; Lactobacillales; Enterococcaceae.